UGGUGAGGGCUUAGUCUCUG
RNAcentral lists this non-coding RNA (20 nucleotides) under Arabidopsis thaliana (thale cress). The record is from RNAcentral. Lineage: Eukaryota; Viridiplantae; Streptophyta; Magnoliopsida; Brassicales; Brassicaceae.